RNAcentral lists this unclassified non-coding RNA (380 nucleotides) under uncultured Rickettsiales bacterium. RNAcentral describes it as "contains 16S-23S intergenic spacer region". Lineage: Bacteria; Pseudomonadati; Pseudomonadota; Alphaproteobacteria; Rickettsiales. The record is from RNAcentral.
UCCGGCUUAUCACCGGCAGUUUUCUCAGAGUUCUCAGCAUUACCUGUUAGCAACAGAGAAUGAGGGUUGCGCUCGUUGCGGGACUUAACCCAACAUCUCACGACACGAGCUGACGACAGCCAUGCAGCACCUGUGCACCUCCCACCCGAAGUGAAGGGCUCCUUUUCGGGAGCCCAUAGAGGGCAUGUCAAAUCCUGGUAAGGUUCUUCGCGUUGCCUCGAAUUAAACCACAUGUUCCACCGCUUGUGCGGGUCCCCGUCAAUUUCUUUGAGUUUUAAUCUUGCGACCGUACUCCCCAGGCGGGGUGCUUAACGCGUUAGCUACGCCACCGAGAUCGAAGAUCCCGACAGCUAGCACCCAUCGUUUACGGCGUGGACUAC